UGACAAGGUCCUCACCCAGAUGGGUU
RNAcentral lists this unclassified non-coding RNA (26 nucleotides) under Mus musculus (house mouse). RNAcentral's name for it is "oocyte_clustered_small_RNA13567". The record is from RNAcentral. Lineage: Eukaryota; Metazoa; Chordata; Mammalia; Rodentia; Muridae.